Molecule: non-coding RNA, 76 nt
Filed under: Virgibacillus chiguensis
Lineage: Bacteria; Bacillati; Bacillota; Bacilli; Caryophanales; Bacillaceae
Source: RNAcentral
UAACCGAAAAUGUAAGUGUUCGCUGAGCUCUCAGAAGUCAGCCGAAGCCGUAGUACUAAAUAUUUCUAGGAAGGGC